This is a long non-coding RNA of Osmia lignaria (orchard mason bee), 800 nucleotides long. RefSeq lists it as uncharacterized. Lineage: Eukaryota; Metazoa; Arthropoda; Insecta; Hymenoptera; Megachilidae. The record is from RefSeq and is a predicted model, not a curated record.
UGCGCUUAAAAUAUUGAAAUAAGAUGCUCGUACGAACCUCCUCGAAUUCUCGUUCAAUUCCUCGUCCUCUUUUGUUGCCUCCCAUUCGCGGCAUUCUUUUUCUCGCAUGCGCACCACUUUUACCUUCUCCCCUAUUCUGUCAUUUUCGACGUGCUUCCCUUCGUAUUAUCUCCACCGACCGUCCUUUUACUUUCACAUCUUUUACUUCCUUUUUAGAAAUUUCAUUUUAGAUGUUUCUUGCCCGAACAUAACAUUAGUUUUACUUUUUUCCUUUUUCUUUCUCGACAGACUUCAGACGCUAUUUUUCUUUUUGUAGUUGAAACUCACACGAUGAAUUAAAGAUGACUGGUCGAAGCAGUUCAACUUUUUCGGCCGGAUGCAUUGUGCCCGUUUUUUCCCCCGGUUUAAUCAACUCCUCGCUGAUUUUUUCAUCUUUCCUUUCCUACCUUCGUACGUCUUUCCACGAGGGUCAACAUUCUGAGAGGAACGCGGACUCCCGAAGCCUCUAAAGUACACGCAAUUUUUUUAUUCAAAAGUAAAAAACAAUAUAAAUUGAUUGAAAAAGAAAGGAAGAGUUGGUUAAACGCAACAUUGAUUCAUUAAGGGUUUACAUACCUUUGGGGGAUUAAAUAAGAAGGAAAAUUAACAAAUUUGUUUGGGCAGUCUAAUACUUAGAAAAUGAAAAAUUACAAUUAAAUUGGAGCUCUGACCAUGAUCUGCUGUCCGAGGAUUAAGGAGUUACAUUCCUUUAAAUCAUUAAAUAAGAAGUUCUGUGAACAAUAAACAAUUUUUAAACAAAA